Molecule: ribosomal RNA, 514 nt
Filed under: Klebsiella pneumoniae
Lineage: Bacteria; Pseudomonadati; Pseudomonadota; Gammaproteobacteria; Enterobacterales; Enterobacteriaceae
Also listed under: 1 other name
Description: bacterial SSU rRNA
Rfam family: Bacterial small subunit ribosomal RNA
Source: RNAcentral
GAUGUGAAAUCCCCGGGCUCAACCUGGGAACUGCAUUCGAAACUGGCAGGCUAGAGUCUUGUAGAGGGGGGUAGAAUUCCAGGUGUAGCGGUGAAAUGCGUAGAGAUCUGGAGGAAUACCGGUGGCGAAGGCGGCCCCCUGGACAAAGACUGACGCUCAGGUGCGAAAGCGUGGGGAGCAAACAGGAUUAGAUACCCUGGUAGUCCACGCCGUAAACGAUGUCGAUUUGGAGGUUGUGCCCUUGAGGCGUGGCUUCCGGAGCUAACGCGUUAAAUCGACCGCCUGGGGAGUACGGCCGCAAGGUUAAAACUCAAAUGAAUUGACGGGGGCCCGCACAAGCGGUGGAGCAUGUGGUUUAAUUCGAUGCAACGCGAAGAACCUUACCUGGUCUUGACAUCCACAGAACUUUCCAGAGAUGGAUUGGUGCCUUCGGGAACUGUGAGACAGGUGCUGCAUGGCUGUCGUCAGCUCGUGUUGUGAAAUGUUGGGUUAAGUCCCGCAACGAGCGCAACCC